GACGAACGCUGGCGGCGUGCUUAACACAUGCGAGUCGAACGGAAAGGCCCUGCUUUUGUGGGGUGCUCGAGUGGCGAACGGGUGAGUAACAUGUGAGUAACCUGCCCUUGACUUUGGGAUAACUUCAGGAAACUGGGGCUAAUACCGGAUAGGAGCUCCUGCUGCAUGGUGGGGGUUGGAAAGUUUCGGCGGUUGGGGAUGGACUCGCGGCUUAUCAGCUUGUUGGUGGGGUAGUGGCUUACCAAGGCUUUGACGGGUAGCCGGCCUGAGAGGGUGACCGGCCACAUUGGGACUGAGAUACGGCCCAGACUCCUACGGGAGGCAGCAGUGGGGAAUAUUGCACAAUGGGCGGAAGCCUGAUGCAGCAACGCCGCGUGCGGGAUGACGGCCUUCGGGUUGUAAACCGCUUUCGCCUGUGACGAAGCGUGAGUGACGGUAAUGGGUAAAGAAGCACCGGCUAACUACGUG
RNAcentral lists this ribosomal RNA (468 nucleotides) under uncultured bacterium. RNAcentral's name for it is "partial 16S ribosomal RNA". It matches the Rfam family "Bacterial small subunit ribosomal RNA", at positions 28 to 507 of the family's 1533-position model. The record is from RNAcentral.